This is an RNA transcript of Micropterus salmoides (largemouth bass), 2230 nucleotides long. It is a transcript of the gene named coiled-coil domain containing 47, with no coding region annotated. The record is from RefSeq and is a predicted model, not a curated record. The transcript is spliced from 13 exons. Lineage: Eukaryota; Metazoa; Chordata; Actinopteri; Centrarchiformes; Centrarchidae.
CAUGACAUCGUUUGCCAACCGCAAUGAAAAACAUUAAGAAGAAGAAGAAGAAGAAGAAGAAGAGCCGUGCACUUCAGGCGUUAACAUCACUACAAGGGCAGUUCAGCUCAACCAGCGCUACGUUUAUUGUCAGUAAUUCUCCAGGUCCCAUUAUGCGCAGUGCGUAUCUCCUCCUGAUACCAGCUCUGCUGCUCCUCCUGGCCCUUCCUGUCUCCAAGGGACGCUACAAUGAUGACUUUGAUGAUGGCGAGGACCUAGCAGACUUUGAUGACAAUGACUUUGCUGAGUUUGAGGACAUGAACGAUGAUCCAGCGGCCGAGGAAGAAACUGCCCCUCCGCCUCGUGUCUCACCGUCCUCGCAGCCUGAAGAGGAUGAAGAUGAAGAUGAAGCCACUGUGGAGCUGGAGGACGGCCAAGAUGGUUUUGAGGACUCAGAGACACAGGAUCAAGACAUGUACAGCAAAUAUGACCAGGAGGAGUUUGAGGGGAUUGGAGACAUGGAGAAGACAGGCCACUCCAUGAAGGAUCCCCUCAUAAUCCACACAGUUCCUGCACAUCUGCAAAACAGCUGGGAGAGUUAUUACAUGGAGAUCCUGAUGGUGACUGGCCUGUUGGCCUACAUCAUGAACUACAUCAUUGGCAAGAACAAGAACAGUCGCCUUGCUCAGGCCUGGUUCAACUCACACAGAGAACUUCUAGAGAGCAACUUUGCACUAGUGGGUGACGAUGGCACCAGUAAAGAAGCAGUGAGCACUGGGAAGCUGAAUCAGGAAAAUGAGCACAUCUACAACCUUUGGUGCUCGGGACGUGUGUGCUGUGAAGGCAUGCUGAUCCAACUUAAGUUUCUGAAGAGGCAGGACCUGCUCAAUGUUCUGGCCAGGAUGAUGAGGCCCAUCUGUGAUCAAGUGCAAAUCAAAGUGACUCUUAAUGAGGAGGACAUGGACACUUUUGUGUUUGCUGUUGGCACCAAGAAGGCCAUGGCCAGGCUUCAGAAGGAGAUGCAGGACUUGAGUGAGUUCUGCGGGGACAAGCCUAAGUCUGGGGCUAAGUAUGGGCUCCCAGACUCCCUGGCUAUUCUAAGUGAGAUGGGUGAAGUCACAGAUGGGGUGAUGGACAACAAGAUGGUGCAUUAUAUCACCAACAAUGCUGACAAGAUUGAGUCCAUUCAUUUCUCGGACCAAUUUUCUGGUCCAAAAGUUAUGCAAGAGGAGGGUCAGCCCUUAAAGCUGCCUGAGACCAAGAAGACGCUGCUGUUUACAUUUAAUGUGCCUGGCAUGGGCAACACCUCUCCCAAAGACAUGGAUGCUCUGCUCCCUCUCAUGAACAUGGUGAUCUACAGCAUCGAUAAAGUCAAGAAACUCCGUCUCAACAGAGAGUGUCUUUUCAUCCUCCCUGUAUAUUUAGGGCAAACAGAAAGCAGACAGAAACCGGGCCCGUGUGGAGGAGAACUUCCUGAAGCAGACUCACGCUCAGCGUCAGGAGGCAGCCCAGACCCGCCGGGAGGAGAAGAAGAGGGCUGAGAAAGAGAGGAUCAUGAAUGAGGAGGACCCUGACAGACAACGUCGUCUUGAGGAAGCAGCCCAGCGGCGAGAGCAGAAGAAGAUUGAGAAGAAGCAGAUGAAGAUGAAGCAGAUCAAAGUGAAAGCCAUGUGAAAGACCACCACAGAGAUAGUGAAACAAGCACAGUGCCCAGCUCAGACACUUUUCUCCAGCUUCUUUCACCACAGUCUGCAGCUCUGGCUCACAGUCGCUCCAGCUCUAAAAAGACAUCCUGUGCCUCUGGGUGUGUCAAGCUUAGCUGUCUCUGUCACCACCUGCUCCAUUUGGUGUGGCUGAAAGUUAAUGACUGAGAGUGAACUGUCCAUGUCAAGUGAGAGGGGCUGUCUCACCAUCAUAUCUCACCACAAUUCCUGCCGGGAUUUUUUUUUUUUUCUUUUCUCUCCAACCAUCUUCUCAAAAUGUAAUCAAAGCUCUGUUUGAAAGCUAGCUUAGGGAGCUUUUUAACUAAAAUCUGCUGGGAGAGAACACACUAUUUGGUGAUAUUAGGCCACAUUUUAAAAAGAAAUAAAGCAUUGCUGUGGUUUCAGCAGAAAUGUAUUAGCAUUAAUAUAAUCUUAAACAAUACUAUCAUGGACAUUUUAAUUUAUAUCUGCUAUGAUUGGUUUCAUGCAGGCUGUUUCUAAUGAAUAUCUGAGCAAACAUAAUAAAAUGCACUGGAGUCUGUUAACUG